AAACCACGUUCAAACCUAUAAUAAAUUAUAAAAACUAUAACACAUAAUUGCCCAUAGGUUUCGGCCAUUACGGCCUUCUUCAUUGGAAUACAUCACAACAUUAUAUAUUUACAACAAGUCUAAAAGGGUACAAGAUCACCAUAUAAUAAAUAACAAUAAAAUGAACCAAUGUUAAAAAUUUCUGAUAAAAGAUAUCCUUCAUCAGAAGGAGCACAAUAUAAAAUGAAUCAGAUCAAUCUAUUCUGAUUAUUAAAAUAUAUAUAUAUAAGCAAUUAUCUUGAAUUCUCUACAAUAAAAAAUUGAAACAGUUUCACUCGAACAACGCUAGUACAAUUAAAAACGACUGAUCGAUUUAACCUGGUAAAAUAUGUCAAACAGAGGCUUUUAUCCUAAGCAAUCAGGUUUGAACGAAAGAAAAAAAAAGUUUAUUCUAUAGCUUUUAGAUUAUAUAUCUGAUUUAUAUACUGCCACAAAUUAAAUGUCAAUGAGUGCUCACCUUUCAUAUGUACAAAUAAACAUGAAAUUGAGGAUACUACCGAACUUAAAAAAUCACUUUAAAUUUGGAAAAACAAAAA
Molecule: long non-coding RNA, 575 nt
Filed under: Mytilus galloprovincialis (Mediterranean mussel)
Lineage: Eukaryota; Metazoa; Mollusca; Bivalvia; Mytilida; Mytilidae
Source: RNAcentral